Molecule: transfer RNA, 72 nt
Filed under: bacterium
Lineage: Bacteria
Description: tRNA-Glu
Rfam family: tRNA
About the family: Transfer RNA (tRNA) molecules are approximately 80 nucleotides in length.
Source: RNAcentral
GGCCUCAUCGUCUAGUGGUCAGGACGCCGGGUUUUCAUCCCGGAAACCGGGGUUCGAUUCCCCGUGGGGCUA